UUCUGGAGAAAAGGGGGUACCGUCCUGCUCAUGCAAUUUUGUAAAUAGCCGCAGUAUUCCUGACUGUGCUAAGGUAGCAUAAUCAUUAGUCUUUUAAUUCGGAGGCUGGUAUGAAUGACGAGACGAGAAAAUGACUGUCUCUAUAAUAAACUUUGAAUUUCAUUUCUGAGUGAAAAAGCUCAGAUAAUUUUGAAGGACGAUCAGACCCUUUGGAGCUUUAUUUACUUUAAAAAUUUGAAUUUGUUUUAAUUGAUUGAAUGGAAAGUAAAUUUUGUUGGGGCGACAGGGAGUAAAAUAUAACACUCUUUUUUUAAAACAAUCCUAAUUGGAAAAUUGAUCCUUAGAGUGAGAUUACAAGACUAAGUUACCCUAGGGAUAACAGCGUAAUCUUUUUGGAGAGUUCAAAUCGAUAAAAAGGUUUGCGACCUCGAUGUUGGAUUAAGAGAUUGGCAAGGUGCAGAAGUUUUGCUGGAAAGUCUGUUCGACUUUUAAUCUCUUACAUGAUCUAUUUUUAAAACCGGGGAAAAAAGGAAGAAAAGGGGGAUGAAUUAAAGAACGGAGCCCGGGCCGGGUGGGGUCCGAUUAAGGGGACUCUUACACUCCGCCGUGACCCCGGAGUGCCUCCCUCAUGUGGAGGCGGCCACGGGCGGUUUGGUAUGUGAGGGCCGGCCGGAAGGCGAUUAUCUAAGAAAAAAGGGGAACAGUUGGUAGUUUUAAAAAAAAGCUAGAGAAUUUUUGGGUG
Molecule: ribosomal RNA, 742 nt
Filed under: Daphnia magna
Lineage: Eukaryota; Metazoa; Arthropoda; Branchiopoda; Diplostraca; Daphniidae
Description: partial 16S ribosomal RNA
Rfam family: Bacterial large subunit ribosomal RNA
Source: RNAcentral